Molecule: ribosomal RNA, 448 nt
Filed under: uncultured bacterium
Lineage: Bacteria
Description: bacterial SSU rRNA
Rfam family: Bacterial small subunit ribosomal RNA
Source: RNAcentral
GCCAGACUCCUACGGGAGGCAGCAGUGGGGGAUAUUGCACAAUGGGGGGAACCCUGAUGCAGCGACGCCGCGUGGGCGAGGGAGCGCCUCGGCGCGUAAAGCCCUUUCGGCGGGGGAGAACGAUGACGGUACCCGACGAAGAAGCACCGGCUAAAUACGUGCCAGCAGCCGCGGUAAUACGUAUGGGGCGAGCGUUGUCCGGAUUUACUGGGGGUGAAGGGGGCGCAGGCGGCGCGCCAAGCCCGAUGUGAAAGCCCGGGGCUCAACCCCGGGACUGCAUUGGGAACUGGCGUGCUGGAGUGCCGGAGGGGCAGGCGGAAUUCCUGGUGUAGCGGUGAAAUGCGUAGAUAUCACGCAGAACUCCGAUUGCGAAGGCAGCAUACCGGCGCCCAACUGACGCUGAAGCACGAAAGCGUGGGUAGCGAACAGGAUUAGAUACCCGGGUACG